UACGUAGGUGGCGAGCGUUAUCCGGAAUUACUGGGUGUAAAGGGCGUGUAGGCGGGUUGGCAAGUCAGAUGUGAAAUCUCAUGGCUUAACUGUGAGGCUGCAUCUGAAACUGCUGAUCUUGAGUAUCGGAGAGGAAAGUGGAAUUCCCAGUGUAGCGGUGAAAUGCGUAGAUAUUGGGAGGAACACCAGUGGCGAAGGCGACUUUCUGGACGGUAACUGACGCUGAGGCGCGAAAGCGUGGGGAGCAAACAGG
RNAcentral lists this ribosomal RNA (253 nucleotides) under uncultured bacterium. RNAcentral describes it as "partial 16S ribosomal RNA". It matches the Rfam family "Bacterial small subunit ribosomal RNA", at positions 524 to 776 of the family's 1533-position model. The record is from RNAcentral.